GCCUGUUCCCCUGGGUCCUCAUGGAAAUGACCAGCAUAGACAGAGCAUUGACAUCUUGUAUAGCCUCCAUGGAAGAUUCUGGAUGGAUUGAAAUGAUUUUGCAGGCUGUUCAUCAGGGAAUAACCAAGGCAACAGUUGAAAUCUCUGAGAAUUUUAGAAAAAUGAAGCUAUCCAUGUGCCUAGCAGCUUGUACACUGAGCGGAUCUUUCAGAAGAGGAAGCAGAGAAUAAAACAGUGGGAGAGAAAGCU
Molecule: long non-coding RNA, 249 nt
Filed under: Anas platyrhynchos platyrhynchos (common mallard)
Lineage: Eukaryota; Metazoa; Chordata; Aves; Anseriformes; Anatidae
Description: lncRNA (ENSAPLG00000029080.1)
Source: RNAcentral